UACGUAGGAUGCAAGCGUUGUCCGGAAUUAUUGGGCGUAAAGAGCGCGCAGGCGGUAUGACAAGUCAGAUGUGAAAGAGGCCGGCUUAACCGGCAAGGGUCAUUUGAAACUGUCAGACUAGAGUGCAGCAGAGGAUAGUGGAAUUCCCGGUGUAGUGGUGAAAUGCGUAGAGAUCCGGAGGAACACCAGUGGCGAAGGCGACACGCUGGGCCGUACCUGACACUGAACCGCGACAGCAUGGGGAGCAAACAGG
This 253-nucleotide ribosomal RNA is filed under the name uncultured bacterium. Its description in RNAcentral is "partial 16S ribosomal RNA". It matches the Rfam family "Bacterial small subunit ribosomal RNA", at positions 524 to 776 of the family's 1533-position model. The record is from RNAcentral.